RNAcentral lists this ribosomal RNA (300 nucleotides) under uncultured Vagococcus sp. Its description in RNAcentral is "partial 16S ribosomal RNA". It matches the Rfam family "Bacterial small subunit ribosomal RNA", at positions 495 to 795 of the family's 1533-position model. Lineage: Bacteria; Bacillati; Bacillota; Bacilli; Lactobacillales; Enterococcaceae. The record is from RNAcentral.
GUGUGAUGCCGUGCCAUGCGCGGGUGUAAUAGGGGGGAAGCCAAGUUGAUCCGUGAUCAUGGAGUUUGUAUGGUCCGGAUGGUGCUUUGUAAGACAGCUGUGAAAGUUUUUUGUUUAAGCAAAAAAUUGCCAUUGAGAAUGGUGGGCUUGUAAUAUUGUGAAGUUACGAGAAUAUGUGGUGUAGCGGUGAAAUGCUUAGAUAUUACAUGGAAUACCAAUUGGGAAGGCAGGUUACUAACAAUAUAUUGACGCUGAUGGACGAAAGCGUGGGUAGCGAACAGGAUUAGAUACCCCUGAGUC